This is a long non-coding RNA of Syngnathoides biaculeatus (alligator pipefish), 1358 nucleotides long. RefSeq lists it as uncharacterized. The record is from RefSeq and is a predicted model, not a curated record. The transcript is spliced from 3 exons. NCBI's taxonomy places the organism in Eukaryota, Metazoa, Chordata, Actinopteri, Syngnathiformes, Syngnathidae.
AAAAGUAACACAGUAAGCUUGAACACAACAAAUGAGACGGAAAAUACGGGCCUUUACAACUUGGGAAUUUACUUGCAGGGGAAGGACAGAAUCAUUGAACACAGAACACUGAUUGUUAAUAAUUCUGUUGAUGGUGGGAGACAAUCAUCCUUUUUAGCACUUGUCUGAAACAGAGAUUCAACCCUAGGACCUUAAACAAUGUGCCAUGGAAACACCAGACAGCGGUGCAGCAGACGACAUAAAGACUGAUGAUCUCGAGAGGAUGGUGAAGGCAUCAUAAAACCUCACAUUGGCUUUGUUUUUCGAUUAACGCUUUGUUUGUCAUGUUUCCUUUGGUACUUUGUGGACCGCCCUCACGAAAUAAAAAGGAUUCGCGGAGAUGUGGCCAGAACGAGCUGGAGAUUGGUGAGAGAGACACAGCCUGCAUUCUCCUGGCGAGUUAAAGUUCCCCUUGUCUUCCUUCCUUGAGAAAUUGUACUUUAAAUGUCUUGGGUCACGUGAGCCUGGCUCUCACUGGAUGCCAUUAUCACUGAUGCCAUCACUUAAGCUGCCACAGGCUAUGUGAACCUGACAGAUUCCAUUUUUAUUGUACUGCUCAGCUCUUUGUAUUACUUUUUGCACUUCAUUUUACUGUAACAUUACACAACAGAUUCGUCUGUAGAUUGACUUUGCUAAAAGAUUUACAUAAGCCCCAUAAAUGAGUACACAUGGAUGACAAAGUUUAAUGGGAGAAAGGUUACGACUAAUGACAUGUUUGUCCUGUCACUUGGCAAAGAACGAACAAAUGUAAAGAUUAUGCAUUUUUCAGGACUCAUGAAAACCCCUCACGAGCCACUUCGUUAGGAAUACCGAUCUUUUCAAAUCCAACAAUGAAGGGUUGCCCUUUGAUAAAAUGAGUGAUUACUGAAUACAUUUGAGCUUCAGCUCUAAAGAUGAAUAUGAGACAAAGGUUCCUAAUGCCACCUUUUAAUUUCAUCGCAUUUACAUCUGGGAUGCUUCCUUCUGGAAUCCAGGGGUAAAGGUAUUACCAUUUUUGAAGAUGAAAAACACUCAUCUGCCAAGACUAAGGGGACGCUAGAUUGAGGUGGGAAAGUGAGUGGAAGACUGAUUAGCACAUCUGCCUCACAGUUCCGUGGACCAGGAGUUCAAGUCCAAGUACCGCCUGUGUGAAGUUACCAUAUUCGCCCUGUGCCUGCAUGGGUUUUUUCCAAAACAUGCAAGAUGUGGGAGGAAACCGGAGUGGCCGGAGAAAACCCACACAGGCACGGGGAGAACAUGCAAACUCCACACAGGCAGGUCCUGGUCUGAACCCGGGACCUCAGAACUCUGAGGCCAACGCUUUACCAGGUGAACCACCG